GUAGGUGGCGAGCGUUGUCCGGAAUUAUUGGGGCGUAAAGCGCGCGCAGGCGGUUCUUUAAGUCUGAUGUGAAAGCCCACGGGCUCAACCGUGGAGGGUCAUUGGAAACUGGAGAACUUGAGUACAGAAGAGGAAAGCGGAAUUCCACGUGUAGCGGUGAAAUGCGUAGAGAUGUGGAGGAACACCAGUGGCGAAGGCGGCUUUCUGGUCUGUAACUGACGCUGAGGCGCGAAAGCGUGGGGAGCAAACAGGAUUAGAUACCCUGGUAGUCCACGCCGUAAACGAUGAGUGCUAAGUGUUAGGGGUUUCCGCCCCUUAGUGCUGCAGCUAACGCAUUAAGCACUCCGCCUGGGGAGUACGGCCGCAAAGGCUG
This 373-nucleotide ribosomal RNA is filed under the name uncultured organism. RNAcentral's name for it is "partial 16S ribosomal RNA". It matches the Rfam family "Bacterial small subunit ribosomal RNA", at positions 527 to 896 of the family's 1533-position model. The record is from RNAcentral.